GACGUAGGGCGCGAGCGUUGUCCGGAUUUAUUGGGCGUAAAGAGCUCGUAGGCGGCUUGUCACGUCGGUUGUGAAAGCCCGGGGCUUAACCCCGGGUCUGCAGUCGAUACGGGCAGGCUAGAGUGUGGUAGGGGAGAUCGGAAUUCCUGGUGUAGCGGUGAAAUGCGCAGAUAUCAGGAGGAACACCGGUGGCGAAGGCGGAUCUCUGGGCCAUUACUGACGCUGAGGAGCGAAAGCGUGGGGAGCGAACAGG
This 253-nucleotide ribosomal RNA is filed under the name uncultured bacterium. Its description in RNAcentral is "partial 16S ribosomal RNA". It matches the Rfam family "Bacterial small subunit ribosomal RNA", at positions 524 to 776 of the family's 1533-position model. The record is from RNAcentral.